AGUCCCGUUGCUGAGGGAACCCUUCGGGUGUUUGUUCUCUGUGCUGAAGUGAGAUAAGAAGCAAGGCCAUCGGCUCAAAGCAAUAAUGGUCAGAUGGUAUUGAAGGUUUGAGGAGAGAGGAGAUGGCAUAAAAUAGUCAUCUUGGAGCACAGGAAGCCAGUCCAUGGAAACAGAGAGGAAAUUCAUGACCUCCAAGGAGGUUUGGAGUCCUUCACGCCUGAGAGAUCACCAUGGAAAACAAUGAAGGGGAGAAAAAAGCUCGUCAGUUCUCAAGUAUUCAUCUCAUGGUGGCGACUGGCCUUUGACUUUCACUCAGGAUACAAAUUUGAUCCUGCCACUCCGCUAUUUAAAAUCUUUGGUGAUAAUAAGAGGAAUAACAAUAAUUGCAAACAGACACUUACUUAUUGAACUAUUACUAUGUGCCAGGUACUAUACUAAGGAUUUUACCUGCAUUAUCUCCUAAAAUUAUUCAAAACCUCAUUGGUUAUUUGCUGUUAUAAUCCCCAGUUUAAAGAUGAGGAAAUUGAGGCCUGGAAAGCUUAAAGAACUUGCCCACAGUUAGCUAAUUUCAGAGGUGGGAUUCAAACCUGUGGAAUAUGUUUCUAACUCCAGCCUCUUCCAAGGCUUCCUUCAGUGCUCCUUAUUGCCUACAGUAUAAUGUCUGCAUUCCUUAGCAGGAUUCACAAACCCCUGCUUGAUUACUGUGCUGCCAUCAUCUUCUGCCAUGACCUUUUGUACACGUGCCUUACAAAGUUCCCUGUAGUCCUUGAAAAUGUAGUUUCCCAUGCCUGUGUCUUUGCAGAGAUUGUUUCCAUCAGCCUCAAAUCCCCUUCCUCCAUGGGUCUCUUAACAAAUUCAUCUUCUAAAGCUGUGCUUAAAUAUCGCUUCUGUGGUCAAUGAAAUUCAGUUCUAUGCAUAUUAAUGAAGCAUGUACUUUGUUCCAAGCACCGAGGUAGGCACUGCAGGUUUAAUAACGUAAAAGAAACAUGGACUUGCUGCCCUUCAAGGGAGAUUCCCAUCUACUAAUGGCAGACGAUUAAAAACAGGAGUGUUCCAGUAGAGGACAAUCCACAUGACACAGGGAGCACAUGUAAAGGAGUCAUAGGCUAAGGUCAACAUUUCUGGAAUGAGUGUCCUGACAGGGGACGAUGCACAGGACAGGAGUGUGUAGGAGAAAGGUAACCACGAUCUAAUCAGUCAAUCUUGCCUGUAACUGUUGCCAUGUUUGUGUGUUUGUGUCCCUGUCUGCUGCCUAUGGUGAGUUAUUGCAAAAGUAAAUAAAAUACAUAUUAGUAGGUUUA
This is a long non-coding RNA of Homo sapiens (human), 1301 nucleotides long. Lineage: Eukaryota; Metazoa; Chordata; Mammalia; Primates; Hominidae. The record is from Ensembl.